Molecule: ribosomal RNA, 306 nt
Filed under: uncultured bacterium
Lineage: Bacteria
Description: partial 16S ribosomal RNA
Rfam family: Bacterial small subunit ribosomal RNA
Source: RNAcentral
GACAGCAGCAGCCACGGUAAUACGUAGGGGGCAAGCGUUGUCCGGAAUUAUUGGGCGUAAAGCGCGUGUAGGCGGCUCGAUAAGUCUGCUGUGAAAGUCCAGGGCUCAACCCUGGAAUGCCGGUGGAUACUGUCGAGCUAGAGUCCGGAAGAGGCGAGUGGAAUUCCUGGUGUAGCGGUGAAAUGCGCAGAUAUCAGGAGGAACACCAAUGGCGAAGGCAGCUCGCUGGGACGGUACUGACGCUGAGACGCGAAAGCGUGGGGAGCAAACAGGAUUAGAUACCCCUGUAGUCCCUGUCUCUUAUAC